Molecule: unclassified non-coding RNA, 289 nt
Filed under: Hevea brasiliensis (rubber tree)
Lineage: Eukaryota; Viridiplantae; Streptophyta; Magnoliopsida; Malpighiales; Euphorbiaceae
Source: RNAcentral
UCCUCCCCCUCGAUCCCAUCGGGCGGAGGAGAAGGCGAGAAUCCGCCGCCACCGCCCCCACCGAUCCCUCCGCUCUCGUAAGCAAACCCCCCGACCUGGCUCCCGCUACCAAGGCCGUCAUCCUCCAGAUCCUGGCCCGCGGAGACCCCGAUCUGAUGAUCGGUGGAAUCAGCGCUCUGCACGGGGAGGACGUCCAGGUCCUGAGCGGCGAUGGCGGUUGCGGUACGGCGGAGGCCGGUGCGGAAGGUUGUGCGGAGGGAGGGGGGCUUGGGGCGAGGACGGGUACGGG